RNAcentral lists this ribosomal RNA (667 nucleotides) under uncultured bacterium. RNAcentral's name for it is "bacterial SSU rRNA". It matches the Rfam family "Bacterial small subunit ribosomal RNA", at positions 1 to 688 of the family's 1533-position model. The record is from RNAcentral.
UAGAGUUUGAUCAUGGCUCAGGACGAACGCUGGCGGCGCGCUUAAGACAUGCAAGUCGAGCGAGGGGAGGGCUUCGGCCCGAACCGAGCGGCGGACGGGUGAGUAACACGUGGGUAACCUGCCUACCAGACGGGGAUAACUCCGGGAAACCGGGGCUAAUACCGGGUACGCUUGUCGAUCUGAAUGGAUGGACAAGGAAAGGAGCAAUCCGCUGGUAGAUGGGCCCGCGGGCCAUUAGCUUGUUGGCGGGGUAGGGGCCCACCAAGGCGACGAUGGCUAGCCGGCCUGAGAGGGUGGCCGGCCACACUGGGACUGAGACACGGCCCAGACUCCUACGGGAGGCAGCAGUCGGGAAUUUUGCGCAAUGGGGGAAACCCUGACGCAGCGACGCCGCGUGUGCGACGAAGGCCUUCGGGUUGUAAAGCACUGUCUUGGGGGACGAAGAAGUGACGGUACCCCAGGAGGAAGCCCCGGCUAACUACGUGCCAGCAGCCGCGGUAAUACGUAGGGGGCGAGCGUUGUCCGGAAUUAUUGGGCGUAAAGGGCGUCUAGGCGGUUUCUUAAGUCUGGCGUGAAAAUACCGCAGCUCAACUGCGGGGAUGCGUUGGAAACUGGGGGACUUGAGGGCAGGAGAGGGAAGCGGAAUUCCCGGUGUAACGGUGAAAUG